RNAcentral lists this ribosomal RNA (442 nucleotides) under Merluccius merluccius (European hake). RNAcentral describes it as "partial small subunit ribosomal RNA". Lineage: Eukaryota; Metazoa; Chordata; Actinopteri; Gadiformes; Merlucciidae. The record is from RNAcentral.
CAAAAGUUUGGUCCUGACUUUACUAUCAACUCUAACCUAAUUUACACAUGCAAGUCUCCGCUCCCCCGUGAGAAUGCCCUUAAUGUCCUGAAAGGAAUUAAGGAGCAGGCAUCAGGCGCGCCGAUGCAGCCCACAACGCCUUGCUCAGCCACACCCCUACGGGUAUUCAGCAGUGAUAAAAUUUAAGCCAUAAGUGAAAACUUGACUUAGUUAAGGCUAAGAGGGCCGGUAAAUGCUCGUGCCAGCCACCGCGGUUAUACGAGCGGCCCAAGUUGAUAAAAAACGGCGUAAAGCGUGGUUAAAAAAUGUUAAAACUAGAGCCGAAUAACCUCAAAGCAGUUAUACGCAUUCGAGACCACGAAGCACAAUUACGAAAGUAGCUCUACCCGUCUUUGACUCCACGAAAACCAUAAAACAAACUGGGAUUAGAUACCCCACUAUG